CCUACGGGAGGCAGCAGUGAGGAAUCUUGGUCAAUGGGCGAGAGCCUGACCCAGCCAAGCCGCGUGAGGGAGUACUGCCUUAUGGGUUGUAAACUUCUUUGGUCGGGGAGCAAAAGCUGGACGUGUCCGGCUGCGAGAGUACCCGAAGAAAAAGCAUCGGCUAACUCCGUGCCAGCAGCAGCGGUAAUACGGAGGAUGCGAGCGUUAUCCGGAUUUAUUGGGUUUAAAGGGUGCGCAGGCGGAUUUUAAAGUCAGCGGUCAAAUCGUGGGGCUCAACCCCAUCCAGCCGUUGAAACUGGGGAUCUUGAGUGGGCGAGAGGGAUGCGGAAUGCGUGGUGUAGCGGUGAAAUGCAUAGAUAUCACGCAGAACCCCGAUUGCGAAGGCAGCAUACCGGUGCACAACUGACGCUCAGGCACGAAAGCGUGAGUAUCGAACAGGAUUAGAUACCCCAGUAGUC
RNAcentral lists this ribosomal RNA (458 nucleotides) under uncultured bacterium. RNAcentral's name for it is "partial 16S ribosomal RNA". It matches the Rfam family "Bacterial small subunit ribosomal RNA", at positions 338 to 795 of the family's 1533-position model. The record is from RNAcentral.